Molecule: ribosomal RNA, 1353 nt
Filed under: uncultured bacterium
Lineage: Bacteria
Description: bacterial SSU rRNA
Rfam family: Bacterial small subunit ribosomal RNA
Source: RNAcentral
AUUGAACGCUGGCGGAAUGCUUUACACAUGCAAGCCGAGCGGCAGCGCGGGGCAACCUGGCGGCGAGCGGCGAACGGGCGAGUAACACAUCAGAACAUACCCAGCCGUGGGGGAUAACACUUCAAAAGAAGUGCUAAUACCGCAUACCUCCUGAGGGAGAAAGCGGGGGAUCUUCGGACCUCGCGCGAUUGGAGUGGCCGAUGACACAUUAUCUAAUUGGUGGGGUAAAGGCCUACCAAGGCGACGAUCUGUAGCUGGUCUGAUAGGACGACCAGCCACACUGGGACUGAGACACGGACCAGACUCCUACAGGAGGCAGCAGUGGGGAAUUUUGGACAAUGGGGGCAACCCUGAUCCAGCCAUUCCGCGUGAGUGAAGAAGGCCUUCGGGUUGUAAAGCUCUUUCGGCAGGAACGAAACGGCGCGCUCUAACGUAGCGCGUUAAUGACGGUACCUGAAGAAGAAGCACCGGCUAACUACGUGCCAGCAGCCGCGGUAAUACGUAAGGUGCGAGCGUUAAUCGGAAUUACUGGGCGUAAAGCGUGCGCACGCGGUUGUGUAAGACAGGUGUGAAAUCCCCGGGCUUAACCUGUGAACUGCGCUUGUGACUGCACGGCUAGAGUAUGGCAGAGGGGGGUGGAAUUCCACGUGUAGCAGUGAAAUGCGUAGAGAUGUGGAGGAACACCGAUGGCGAAGGCAGCCCCCUGGGCCAAUACUGACGCUCAUGCACGAAAGCGUGGGGAGCAAACAGGAUUAGAUACCCUGGUAGUCCACGCCCUAAACGAUGUCGACUAGGUGUUCGGUGAGGAGACUCAUUGAGUACCGCAGCUAACGCGUGAAGUCCACCGCCUGGGGAGUACGGUCGCAAGAUUAAAACUCAAAGGAAUUGACGGGGACCCGCACAAGCGGUGGAUGAUGUGGAUUAAUUCGAUGCAACGCGAAAAACCUUACCUACCCUUGACAUGUACGGAACCCUGCUGAGAGGUGGGGGUGCUCGAAAGAGAGCCGUAACACAGGUGCUGCAUGGUGUGUCGUCAGCUCGUGUCGUGAGAUGUUGGGUUAAGUCCCGCAACGAGCGCAACCCUUGUCAUUAGUUGCUACGCAAGAGCACUCUAAUGAGACUGCCAGUGCCAACCCGGAGGAAGGUGGGGAUGACGUCAAGUCCUCAUGGCCCUUAUGGGUAGGGCUUCACACGUCAUCCAAUGGUCGGUCCAGAGGGUUGCCAAUCCGCGAGGUGGAGCCAUUCCCAGAAAGCCGAUUGUAGUCCGGAUCGCAGUCUGCAAUUGGAUUGCGUGAAGUCGGAAUCGUUAGUAAUCGCGGAUCACCAUGCCGCGGUGAAUACGUUCCCGGGUCU